Molecule: long non-coding RNA, 1928 nt
Filed under: Glycine max (soybean)
Lineage: Eukaryota; Viridiplantae; Streptophyta; Magnoliopsida; Fabales; Fabaceae
Description: long non-coding RNA (GMAX_LNC002453)
Source: RNAcentral
AUAUCGUUAUCCAUGUUUUCUUUUUUCUCUAUUUUGUUUCUUUUUCUUUUCAUUUCUUCCAAAUGAACCGGCAGUAGUAUCAAUGUCGAGCUAUAAUUGUUGGGUCCAAGAAAAAAUCAUCCAUUUACUACUGGUUAUGACAAUGGCUUGAGUGGCAACACAUUACAUGUUACAAGACGCACGUUCAUUCACACAGUCACGAGAUAGAUGGUGUUCACGCAUGCUUUCAGAUAUUAGGAUAUGGGUUCCCCUCUCUUUUCUGUGGCAACUACACCAUAUGAUGGACGACAUUCCAUCCAACCUUUGAUACAUCUCUUCCUUGCUCUCUAGUGUACAAGGUGAUUACCAAACAACAUCUAAUCUGGUUUUUUUUUUUUCAAUUUCAAUCACACGACAUCCCCUUUUUUACUUUAAUGGUUUGCAAUAUUAGUAUGUUUUUCACAUGAUCUGUACCCGAAUCUAGACAUUAAAUUUUAUCUUUUAAAAAUUAAUAAAUUUAAAUAUUUUUAUCUAUUGACCCAAUUUAAACCAACAUUUUUGUAAAUAAGUUGGUUUGAUUUGGGUUUUACAACAAAAUAAUUCAAAAACUAAAUCCAAGUUAAUUUAUUUAAAUUUGAUUGGAUUAGAUCAUAAAUUUAGUCAAAUCCAAUGUAAUCUAACCUAUGAACAUCCCUUUAAAAAAAACUUAGCAUGAUAUAUACAAACUUAUGGUAUGAUCUGUUUGUGUUGGAUAGUACUACAUUAGUUAUCAUGGUGCUACUAUGGUUAAAUAAUUAAUUAGAUAAAUGUUUAAAUACAUUUUCAAUUUUUUACUUUUUAUUUUUCAUCCUUAUAAAAAAUUUAAUUUUAGUCCUUAAAAACUUUGUUUAUUUUUUUAUCAUUAAAACGGUUGAAAUAACAUUUUAACAAAACUAAAUUACAAGUACAAAAAUAUUUAAACCUUAGAAUCAUUUCAAAGUGAUGCAAAUUUAAACGACCACUGUUUACACAGAUCAAAGGCCUACAAAACCAGUAUUUCUUAGUAACUUCACACAUUAGAAAGAAGAUGAAAAUUUUGAAAUGUAAAAAGUAAAAACUUCUCCGAGUAUUCACCUAAGAACUACAUCUUUUUUUCCUAGAAUUAGUCGAUGUUAUUAUAUAAUAUGGAAAUCAUAAAGGCUCUAGCACAAGCGUAUAUAUAUUCUAUUAAUGCCACGAGAACUAUUUUACGAGCCUCAAACAUUAACUUUAAUGAAUAAUCCAUAUCACGGUCAAGUAUCAAUAGAUCCGAAAUCCAAAACUUCCUCUACUUCCACGAGGGAUGGUGCUCCGAUCCAAUAUACAAAUUUUCCUUGCUGAAAACUUCAUUACAAUGCCAAUAAUUUGAACAUAAUUGUUUGCUUUUCAACUUCUUAAUUAUAGUAUUUUCUUUUUCCAGCGGUCCACUAUUUAUUCAAAGAAAUUAAAGCAAGCAAACAAUACGAUGAGGAAAGUAAUAAACUACCGAAGUCAUGCACAUAGUGAAUAGAAUUUCUCUUGGCUUCUACAUGGUACCUUCUGUCUCAUAAAUUGGUUAGAGAAAGUAGAAAUCCAAAUUAAAGCAAAUGGAAGAUACAACACACGGCGUGGAGUAGCCCCACCACCGUCAAAAUUUGAGCAGGACUAGGCAACCAUAAAAGUGAACUAUGCCCUCAUCAUUUCGUUACUAGUAGGGAAUGUAGAAAUGUACAAUAUUGACAAAAAGAAAAAGAGCAAACUGAAGCCUCCAACAAUGGGACCUUCGUGUCACAUUUACUAACACUCCCUGCUCUUUGAGAGUGAUUGUGAGAAUGAGAUGACAUUGUAUUAAUAGAUCAAAGUAUUUAACUCAGUUAAUUCAAGAUAUGUGAGUUGUAUUUUGUAAAAUGCAAAUGUCUUAUUAUCUAUUUACGGUUAAUUCAAGAUAUGAG